Molecule: long non-coding RNA, 624 nt
Filed under: Pan troglodytes (chimpanzee)
Lineage: Eukaryota; Metazoa; Chordata; Mammalia; Primates; Hominidae
Description: long non-coding RNA NONPTRT007923
Source: RNAcentral
UGGGUGCUGGUGUGGACGUUGGUGUGCAGGUGUUGGUGUGGGUGCUGGUGUGGACGUUGGUGUGCAGGUGUUGGUGUGGGUGCUGGUGUGGACGUUGGUGUGCAGGUGUUGGUGUGGGUGUUGGUGUGGACGUUGGUGUGCAGGUGUUGGUGUGGGUGUUGGUGUGGACGUUGGUGUGUAGGUGUUGGUGUGCAGGUGUUGGUGUGGACAUUGGUGUGCAGGUGUUGGUGUGGAUAUUGGUGUGCAGGUGUUGGUGUGGAUAUUGGUGUGCAGGUGUUGGUGUGGACAUUGGUGUGCAGGUGCUGGUGUGGACGUUGGUGUGCAGGUGUUGGUGUGGACGUUGGUGUGCAGGUGUUGGCGUGGAUGUUGGUGUGCAGGUGUUGGCGUGGACAUUGGUGUGCAGGUGCUGGUGUAGACAUUGGUGUGCAGGUGCUGGUGUGGACGUUGGUGUGUAGGUGUUGGUGUGCAGGUGUUGGUGUGGACAUUGGUGUGCAGGUGUUGGUGUGGAUAUUGGUGUGCAGGUGCUGGUGUGGACGUUGGUGUGCAGGUGUUGGUGUGCAGGUGUUGGUGUGCAGGUGUUGGUGUGGAUGUUGGUGUGGGUGUUGGUGUGCAGGUGUUGGUGUG